This 439-nucleotide ribosomal RNA is filed under the name uncultured bacterium. RNAcentral describes it as "partial 16S ribosomal RNA". It matches the Rfam family "Bacterial small subunit ribosomal RNA", at positions 339 to 795 of the family's 1533-position model. The record is from RNAcentral.
CUACGGGUGGCUCCAGUGAGGAAUAUUGCACAAUGGGGGGAACCCUGAUGCAGCAACGCCGCGUGGAGGAUGACGCAUUUCGGUGUGUAAACUCCUUUUAUAUGUCAAGAAAAUGACGGUAGCAUAUGAAUAAGCACCGGCUAACUCCGUGCCAGCAGCCGCGGUAAUACGGAGGGUGCAAGCGUUACUCGGAAUCACUGGGCGUAAAGGACGCGUAGGCGGGCUUGUAAGUCAGGUGUGAAAUCCUACAGCUUAACUGUAGAACUGCACUUGAAACUACGAGCCUAGAGUAUGGGAGGGGCAGAUGGAAUUAGUGGUGUAGGGGUAAAAUCCGUAGAUAUCACUAGGAAUACCUAAAGCGAAGGCGAUCUGCUGGAACAUAACUGACGCUAAGGCGUGAAAGCGUGGGGAGCAAACAGGAUUAGAUACCCUAGUAGUC